This 129-nucleotide small RNA is filed under the name Capra hircus (goat). Its description in RNAcentral is "SMAD5 antisense RNA 1 conserved region 2 (ENSCHIG00000006280.1)". Lineage: Eukaryota; Metazoa; Chordata; Mammalia; Artiodactyla; Bovidae. The record is from RNAcentral.
CAUGCUUCCCCCACACCCCCGCGCCGUGGAGCCUGCUUCCCUCGCAGCAGCCGCUAAGACCCGGAGGAGUGGAAUUCCACUUUGAAACUCUGCGUGCGGCGCGAGGGCCAGCACCGGGCAUGCUCAGUC